UCCGGGUUUCGCCCGGCAGUCUCCCUAGAACAUUCAACUAAGGACAAGGGUUGCGCUCGUUGCGGGACUUAACCCAACAUCUCACGACACGAGCUGACGACGGCCAUGCACCACCUGUGACGGUGUCCCGAAGGAAGACCGUGUUUCCACGGCUGUCACCGACAUGUCAAGCCCAGGUAAGGUUCUUCGCGUUGCGUCGAAUUGAACCACGUGCUCCACCGCUUGUGCGGGCCCCCGUCAAUUCCUUUGAGUUUUAAUCUUGCGACCGUACUCCCCAGGCGGGAUGCUUAAUGCGUUAGCUGCGCCACUGAAGGGUAAACCCACCAACGGCUAGCAUCCAUCGUUUACGGCGUGGACUAC
This 360-nucleotide unclassified non-coding RNA is filed under the name uncultured bacterium. RNAcentral describes it as "contains 16S-23S intergenic spacer region". The record is from RNAcentral.